This 253-nucleotide ribosomal RNA is filed under the name uncultured bacterium. RNAcentral describes it as "partial 16S ribosomal RNA". It matches the Rfam family "Bacterial small subunit ribosomal RNA", at positions 524 to 776 of the family's 1533-position model. The record is from RNAcentral.
UACGUAGGGGGCAAGCGUUGUCCGGAAUCAUUGGGCGUAAAGCGCGUGUAGGCGGUUCGAUAAGUCUGCUGUGAAAGUCCAGGGCUCAACCCUGGAAAGCCGGUGGAUACUGUCGGACUAGAGUGCGGAAGAGGCAAGUGGAAUUUGUAGUGUAGCAGUGAAAUGCGUAGAUAUUACAAGGAACACCAAUGGCGAAGGCAGCUUGCUGGGCUUUUUCUGACGCUGAGGUACGAAAGCGUGGGGAGCGAACAGG